AAAGUCGUAACAAGGUUUCCGUAGGUGAACCUGCGGAAGGAUCACUAUCGAGCCGGCUGUUGAGAGUCUCGACCACCCCGGGUCCGUCUCCGUACCCGGGGCCAGUCAGACCUCCGGCCACCUGGCCCCAACCGUGCCUACCUUUACCUGUUGCCUCGGCGGACCGCACUGCUCUGCGGUCGACCCGGCCGGCCUCACCGCCGGCCGGGCCCGCGUCCGCCAGAGGGAUAAAAAACCUCAACCUUUAUGUGGAACGUCUGAGUCACUAUUGAAAAUAGUUAUAAAACUUUCAACAACGGAUCUCUUGGUUCCA
RNAcentral lists this unclassified non-coding RNA (313 nucleotides) under Ascomycota sp. RNAcentral describes it as "partial contains small subunit ribosomal RNA, internal transcribed spacer 1, and 5.8S ribosomal RNA". The stretch from base 1 to 47 matches the Rfam family "Eukaryotic small subunit ribosomal RNA", at positions 1785 to 1831 of the family's 1831-position model. The record is from RNAcentral. Lineage: Eukaryota; Fungi; Ascomycota.